This is a long non-coding RNA of Gopherus flavomarginatus (Mexican gopher tortoise), 716 nucleotides long. RefSeq lists it as uncharacterized. The record is from RefSeq and is a predicted model, not a curated record. The transcript has 4 exons. NCBI's taxonomy places the organism in Eukaryota, Metazoa, Chordata, Testudines, Testudinidae.
GGGCAGGGAGACGUUACGGGCCAUUGAGUCGGGUUUCCCUUUGCAGAGCCCCCCCGCCCAGUCCCGCGGGGGGUGAUGGCAGGAGAGGGCUAAGAUCAGGCAAGCGCGGGUUCCCCUCUGACACUUUGUGUGAAUGUUUCCCAGGCACAACAGAAGCACGUCGGCUGAUCCCCCUCCAACGCGUGUAAAGACAAGCGAGAAUCUCCAGGGGGAGAAUAUCAGGAGAACUGAGCAUCAAACCCACCUGACUCCACUAUUUCUUCUCCAAAUAGUGAUUGUGAUGAGGAGAAAAUUGUGAAGAAGCGAAUGGGUGCAAUUGGGAAACUUACCCAGAGUCCAUGACAAUUUGUCUGUCUAAUGAACUACCCUGGCUGUUGUGUGAGAACCAUUUUGGUUUUAUUACUGGUGGUGAUACUACUUUUCAACCUUGGAAGCUGUCCUCUGCCUUGGAAGAUUCAGGAGAAAGACUGGUAGCUAUAGAGCACCUAUGAUGGGGAUAUCCCUCCUAUAUUGUGGAAAGAAUAUAAGAUGAGCUUCACAAUUUCAUUAUGGUCGCUUUCAUAUGCAGGAAGCUUUUCAGUUUAAGAGAAAAUCUGAAUGUCACUUUCAUAUAACACAAACAUUGUAAAAGCAAUAUCUGUGUAUCAGCAUUUCACUGUGUAUUUUAAAGGGUAAUUAAAAACCACUUAAGAAAUAAAUUUAUAUUUAUGUUUUAA